RNAcentral lists this ribosomal RNA (253 nucleotides) under uncultured bacterium. RNAcentral describes it as "partial 16S ribosomal RNA". It matches the Rfam family "Bacterial small subunit ribosomal RNA", at positions 524 to 776 of the family's 1533-position model. The record is from RNAcentral.
UACGUAGGGUGCGAGCGUUAAUCGGAAUUACUGGGCGUAAAGCGUGCGUAGGCGGUGCGUCAAGUCUGAUGUGAAAGCCCCGGGCUCAACCUGGGAACUGCAUUGGAAACUAGCGAGCUUGAGUGUGGCAGAGGGGGGUGGAAUUCCACGUGUAGCAGUGAAAUGCGUAGAGAUGUGGAGGAACACCGAUGGCGAAGGCAGCUCCCUGGGCUAAAACUGACGCUCAGGCACGAAAGCGUGGGGAGCAAACAGG